AAAUAUGACGUAAUCACUAUCGGUAUAAUUGCUGGAGAAUGGCCAGCGAGUUCCUACCUGUUUCCCGAGAGACAGACUACUGAUAGUGUUUUAAACGAU
RNAcentral lists this non-coding RNA (99 nucleotides) under Weissella cibaria. RNAcentral's name for it is "Guanine sequence". It matches the Rfam family "Purine riboswitch aptamer". Rfam says of the family: Riboswitches are metabolite binding domains within certain messenger RNAs that serve as precision sensors for their corresponding targets. Allosteric rearrangement of mRNA structure is mediated by ligand binding, and this results in modulation of gene expression. The record is from Rfam by way of RNAcentral. Lineage: Bacteria; Bacillati; Bacillota; Bacilli; Lactobacillales; Lactobacillaceae.